This 486-nucleotide ribosomal RNA is filed under the name uncultured bacterium. RNAcentral describes it as "bacterial SSU rRNA". It matches the Rfam family "Bacterial small subunit ribosomal RNA", at positions 196 to 702 of the family's 1533-position model. The record is from RNAcentral.
AGAGGAGAAAGAUUUAUCGCCGAAGGAUUGGCCCGCGUCUGAUUAGCUAGUUGGUGAGGUAAUGGCUCACCAAGGCGACGAUCAGUAGCUGGUCUGAGAGGAUGAUCAGCCACAUUGGGACUGAGACACGGCCCAAACUCCUACGGGAGGCAGCAGUGGGGAAUAUUGGACAAUGGGCGCAAGCCUGAUCCAGCCAUGCCGCGUGAGUGAUGAAGGCCUUAGGGUUGUAAAGCUCUUUUACCCGGGAAGAUAAUGACUGUACCGGGAGAAUAAGCCCCGGCUAACUUCGUGCCAGCAGCCGCGGUAAUACGAAGGGGGCUAGCGUUGUUCGGAUUUACUGGGCGUAAAGCGCACGUAGGCGGAUCUUUAAGUCAGAGGUGAAAUCCCAAGGCUCAACCUUGGAACUGCCUUUGAUACUGGGGAUCUUGAGUUCGGAAGAGGUGAGUGGAACUGCGAGUGUAGAGGUGAAAUUCGUAGAUAUUCGCA